GGAAGGGUGGCUCAGUGGUAGAGCGUCCUCGCCGGCCGUCGGCACCGGCCGACGGUCAGCGAGGAAGUCGACCGGACUCCGGUCGACACACGGCUUCGCGUGGUUCGAAUCCCGCCCCUUCCA
RNAcentral lists this transfer RNA (123 nucleotides) under Haloplanus aerogenes. RNAcentral's name for it is "tRNA-Arg". It matches the Rfam family "tRNA". From Rfam's summary of the family: Transfer RNA (tRNA) molecules are approximately 80 nucleotides in length. Their secondary structure includes four short double-helical elements and three loops (D, anti-codon, and T loops). Lineage: Archaea; Methanobacteriati; Methanobacteriota; Halobacteria; Halobacteriales; Haloferacaceae. The record is from RNAcentral.